RNAcentral lists this ribosomal RNA (253 nucleotides) under uncultured bacterium. RNAcentral's name for it is "partial 16S ribosomal RNA". It matches the Rfam family "Bacterial small subunit ribosomal RNA", at positions 524 to 776 of the family's 1533-position model. The record is from RNAcentral.
UACGUAGGCAGCGAGCGUUGUUCGGAAUCAUUGGGCGUAAAGCGCGUGUAGGCGGUUAGAUAAGUCGAGUGUGAAAUCCCUGGGCUUAACCGAGGAAGUGCAUUCGAAACUAUCUGGCUAGAAGACGGCAGAGGAAGGUGGAAUUCCUAGUGUAGAGGUGAAAUUCGUAGAUAUUAGGAGGAAUACCGGUGGCGAAGGCGGCCUUCUGGACCGAUCUUGACGCUGAGACGCGAAAGCGUGGGGAGCAAACAGG